This 255-nucleotide ribosomal RNA is filed under the name uncultured bacterium. RNAcentral's name for it is "partial 16S ribosomal RNA". It matches the Rfam family "Bacterial small subunit ribosomal RNA", at positions 524 to 776 of the family's 1533-position model. The record is from RNAcentral.
UACGAAGGGGGCUAGCGUUGUUCGGAUUUACUGGGCGUAAAGCGCACGUAGGCGGAUCGUUAAGUCGGGGGGUGAAAUCCUGGAGCUCAACUCCAGAACUGCCUUCGAUACUGGCGAUCUCGAGUCCGGAAGAGGUGAGUGGAACUCCUAGUGUAGAGGUGGAAAUUCGUAGAUAUUAGGAAGAACACCAGUGGCGAAGGCGGCUCACUGGUCCGGUACUGACGCUGAGGUGCGAAAGCGUGGGGAGCGAACAGG